This 534-nucleotide ribosomal RNA is filed under the name Paraburkholderia sp. Its description in RNAcentral is "bacterial SSU rRNA". It matches the Rfam family "Bacterial small subunit ribosomal RNA", at positions 105 to 635 of the family's 1533-position model. The record is from RNAcentral. Lineage: Bacteria; Pseudomonadati; Pseudomonadota; Betaproteobacteria; Burkholderiales; Burkholderiaceae.
GGUGAGUAAUACAUCGGAACGUGUCCUGUAGNGGGGGAUAGCCCGGCGAAAGCCGGAUUAAUACCGCAUACGCUCUACGGAGGAAAGGGGGGGAUCUUAGGACCUCCCGCUACAGGGGCGGCCGAUGGCAGAUUAGCUAGUUGGUGGGGUAAAGGCCUACCAAGGCGACGAUCUGUAGCUGGUCUGANAGGACGACCAGCCACACUGGGACUGAGACACGGCCCAGACUCCUACGGGAGGCAGCAGUGGGGAAUUUUGGACAAUGGGGGAAACCCUGAUCCAGCAAUGCCGCGUGUGUGAAGAAGGCCUUCGGGUUGUAAAGCACUUUUGUCCGGAAAGAAAACCUCUGGGUUAAUACCCCGGGGGGAUGACGGUACCGGAAGAAUAANCACCGGCUAACUACNUGCCANCAGCCGCGGUAAUACNUANGGUGCAAGCGUUAAUCGGAAUUACUGGGCGUAAAGCGUGCGCAGGCGGUCCGCUAANACANAUGUGAAAUCCCCGGGCUUAACCUGGGAACUGCAUUUGUGACUG